AGGGACUUAGGAUAGCACCUAGACCAAGGGCCUUCAAAGCCCUAAGCGGGAGUGAA
This 56-nucleotide transfer RNA is filed under the name Odontesthes argentinensis. Its description in RNAcentral is "partial tRNA-Trp". The record is from RNAcentral. Lineage: Eukaryota; Metazoa; Chordata; Actinopteri; Atheriniformes; Atherinopsidae.